AGUGAACGCUGGCGGUAGGCCUAACACAUGCAAGUCGAACGGCAGCACAGUAAGAGCUUGCUCUUACGGGUGGCGAGUGGCGGACGGGUGAGGAAUACAUCGGAAUCUACUUUUUCGUGGGGGAUAACGUAGGGAAACUUACGCUAAUACCGCAUACGACCUACGGGUGAAAGCAGGGGCUCUUCGGACCUUGCGCGAUUGAAUGAGCCGAUGUCGGAUUAGCUAGUUGGCGGGGUAAAGGCCCACCAAGGCGACGAUCCGUAGCUGGUCUGAGAGGAUGAUCAGCCACACUGGAACUGAGACACGGUCCAGACUCCUACGGGAGGCAGCAGUGGGGAAUAUUGGACAAUGGGCGCAAGCCUGAUCCAGCCAUACCGCGUGGGUGAAGAAGGCCUUCGGGUUGUAAAGCCCUUUUGUUGGGAAAGAAAAGCAGCAGGUUAAUACCCCGCUGUUCGGACGGUACCCAAAGAAUAAGCACCGGCUAACUUCGU
This 491-nucleotide ribosomal RNA is filed under the name uncultured bacterium. RNAcentral describes it as "partial 16S ribosomal RNA". It matches the Rfam family "Bacterial small subunit ribosomal RNA", at positions 29 to 506 of the family's 1533-position model. The record is from RNAcentral.